AAGAAAAUACAGUCAAACAGAUUUACAAUUUAUACAAUUAUGUUCAAAUGUGGGUGAGUAAUUACAAAGACAAACAACUAUGUAAUCACCAGCUUCAAAUAAAACCCUUGUGUCAGAAACAGAUUUAUGUUCUCCCUGCUUUUCAAACAUGGUAGACCCAGGAAGUAUAAAAUGAUAUCAGCUCCUUUGCAGACCCCUUUUGCAUGAUGACCACAAAGAAAAUUAGUAACAAGGUCUGACUUCCAUUGUUGCCAAGAGCUGCAACCAGAAGCAAUUGUUCUACAUGAAACCAAACCCAAACCAAGAUGCUCUCCUGCCUGUUGAUGGCCAAGUUUUAUUACUUUUAUUACUACUUGUGUGUCAUCUGACUAAGUCGGAUGCCUACAAUGUUUCACUGUGUCUUACCUAGCCAAUGCAAUUUUACUAACCUAUUUUUUUAGGUCAUCAAGUUACAUUAAUUUAAUUAAUUUGCACUUUCAUGUCAGUGUUAUAGAGAGACUAGACAAGGUAUAAACUGUAGCUCAGCCAAGGCACAGGGUAAUUUAUGUCCUUGUUCAGAAUUCACCUGACAACGUGGCAUUCACCAUUAAUUUUUUUUUUUAUGGAGCUCUGGAGGGAGUGAAUUGUGUAACAGGAAGUGGCAACAAAAUGUAGAUGUUGUUUUCAUGAUGGAAGAACUGUCAAAUUAACAUGAACCUUUCAAAAAAAUGUCUUGGUCAGCAUGGACAUACUAUGAACCUAUAGCAUCAAUGGGGUUUUCAUUAAAAUCUUACAUGUCUGUAUGUUGUUUUUCUGUAUGUGUGCUGAUUAGCAGUUCAGUUUUAAUAGGUGGUUUAAAAAUCAGCUGUAAAGUUAUCAGCUAUCCCAUGAGGUUAAUCAAAGCACAAACGGUAUGUUAUUCUUAAAUUGUGAAAAGGAUUGCUUAAGUCGUCACCACAGCCCUGCCAACCAAAGAGGCUUCAGCAGAGCAGCAUGAACAGUCAGCCGUUGAGUGCCACUUUGAAAGAAAAUGUGAAUGUAUCUUUUAACCUACCGUUGGCACAUGGAUUAUUUGAACUGUUGUAAUGAAAACCAGAGCACACUAGCUAGACUCAGCUGAGGUUGGCAAGAGGAAUCGAGCAACCACAUCAGGUGUCUUUUGAAGAGAGAUUUUUCACCCUCAUGUUCAAACUCUUGCCUGUGGACGAUGUAGUGUUGUCUUUCAAAUAUGCAGUAAAUGAAUUACAAAUGAUGUCCGAGCCAUUUUUUCCUUUUAAAUAGCACAAAUAUGGUGUUUAACUGUCAUUAAAGCAAAUAUUUUUGUUCUCA
Molecule: long non-coding RNA, 1308 nt
Organism: Scatophagus argus
Lineage: Eukaryota; Metazoa; Chordata; Actinopteri; Scatophagidae
Exons: 2
Source: RefSeq, a predicted model, not a curated record